RNAcentral lists this ribosomal RNA (341 nucleotides) under uncultured Pseudomonadota bacterium. Its description in RNAcentral is "bacterial SSU rRNA". It matches the Rfam family "Bacterial small subunit ribosomal RNA", at positions 29 to 351 of the family's 1533-position model. Lineage: Bacteria; Pseudomonadati; Pseudomonadota. The record is from RNAcentral.
AACGAACGCUGGCGGCGUGCCUAACACAUGCAAGUCGAGCGCGAAAGUUCCUUCGGGGAUGAGUAGAGCGGCGGACGGGUGAGUAAUACGUGGGUAAUCUGCCCCCGAGCUCGGGAUAACACUGCGAAAGCGGUGCUAAUACCGGAUAAGACCACAUGACCCAGGUCGUGCGGUAAAAGGUGGCUUUGUUUUCGGAUAAGGCUAUCACUUGAGGAUGAGCCCAUGGCCUAUCAGCUUGUUGGUGAGGUAAAAGCUCACCAAGGCUAUGACGGGUAGCUGGUCUAAGAGGACGACCAGCCACACUGGGACUGAGACACGGCCCAGACUCCUACGGGAGGCAG